AGGAGCCGUGUGACGGGAGACUGUCACGCACGGUUCUGUGAGAGCCCGGGGGUGCGAUUCCCCCGGGCCACUCGAC
RNAcentral lists this non-coding RNA (76 nucleotides) under Rhodococcus sp. SMB37. Lineage: Bacteria; Bacillati; Actinomycetota; Actinomycetes; Mycobacteriales; Nocardiaceae. The record is from RNAcentral.